Molecule: long non-coding RNA, 2845 nt
Filed under: Triticum aestivum (bread wheat)
Lineage: Eukaryota; Viridiplantae; Streptophyta; Magnoliopsida; Poales; Poaceae
Description: long non-coding RNA (TAES_LNC003611)
Source: RNAcentral
CAAGCUCAAACACAUGCAACCUCGUUGUAUCUUCCAUUUUCUUUCAGAACUUCCUGAAGAUGCGAAUGUUGUAGAGCUCAUACACUUGUCGUUCUAUACUGUAUUUGGACCAGAACUUCUUGGGCGCAUCCUUUUUGUUUCUAGACAAGUGAUCACAUUCUUGCUUUCUCUCAUGAAUGACUUCUAUUAUCCUGUCAUACUCUCUUAGGAAGCUUGUUGCACUGAAUUUAGCCCCCACUCCCCUUUUGAACAGUGCAUUUGUCAUACUCUCUUCGAGGUACAGCGACUGCCCUUUGAUGCUAUAUUCUAUUGCAUCUGAUUCGAUUGCAGGCAUCUGCACUCAAUGUUUUCAGAAAGUAUAGGUAAUGAAGUGUUGUAGAAUAAACAAGAGUAUUUCUGAUGUCCCCAUUUGUCCUUUUUUUGCAUGUAUGCAUGUUUAUGCAUAUGUAGGGUGCAACAAGUAGGUAAGAAAUGCAGUAAAGCAUGUUGCAAGUCAUUGACAAGGUUUUUUGUACAAUUUUUUCUUUGAAGCCAGAGUUAUUUGUGUCAAUUCCAGUAGUCUCUUCAUACACAAGUUUCUGAUUUCUUCUAUUUAUGUGCAAAUCAGAGCUUGUAAUUUACAAGGUAGGGUGCAGAGUGUCAGUGCUUAACCUGAUUGUCCUCAGUCUUUUUUUCUGAUAAUUUUACUUUCACUGUUAAUUUUCAUGGCAUAUUAGAUUAAGUGUGAACUAGUAUCAGAUCAUAGUAAUUUGAACUACAACUUUGGACAGUACAAUUGUUUCUAAAAUACAGUCAUAUGUUCACAGCUUUAUACUGAAAUCUAAUCUGCCAUGUCUAAAAUACAGUCAUAGAUUCACAGAUACAAAUGUCCAAACAUGAUCAAAAGUAUCUGAACAAUGUACAGUUUCUCAGCACCAAACUUCUGAAAUUACAGCAGUACUACUCUUUUUGUUUGAACAAGUUUUUCCUAAAUGGAAUUCAUAGCUUCCUCANNNNNNNNNNUUUUUUUUCUUUUUCAAGCUCAAACACAUGCAACCUCGUUGUAUCUUCCAUUUUCUUUCAGAACUUCCUGAAGAUGCGAAUGUUGUAGAGCUCAUACACUUGUCGUUCUAUACUGUAUUUGGACCAGAACUUCUUGGGCGCAUCCUUUUUGUUUCUAGACAAGUGAUCACAUUCUUGCUUUCUCUCAUGAAUGACUUCUAUUAUCCUGUCAUACUCUCUUAGGAAGCUUGUUGCACUGAAUUUAGCCCCCACUCCCCUUUUGAACAGUGCAUUUGUCAUACUCUCUUCGAGGUACAGCGACUGCCCUUUGAUGCUAUAUUCUAUUGCAUCUGAUUCGAUUGCAGGCAUCUGCACUCAAUGUUUUCAGAAAGUAUAGGUAAUGAAGUGUUGUAGAAUAAACAAGAGUAUUUCUGAUGUCCCCAUUUGUCCUUUUUUUGCAUGUAUGCAUGUUUAUGCAUAUGUAGGGUGCAACAAGUAGGUAAGAAAUGCAGUAAAGCAUGUUGCAAGUCAUUGACAAGGUUUUUUGUACAAUUUUUUCUUUGAAGCCAGAGUUAUUUGUGUCAAUUCCAGUAGUCUCUUCAUACACAAGUUUCUGAUUUCUUCUAUUUAUGUGCAAAUCAGAGCUUGUAAUUUACAAGGUAGGGUGCAGAGUGUCAGUGCUUAACCUGAUUGUCCUCAGUCUUUUUUUCUGAUAAUUUUACUUUCACUGUUAAUUUUCAUGGCAUAUUAGAUUGAGUGUGAACUAGUAUCAGAUCAUAGUAAUUUGAACUACAACUUUGGACAGUACCAUUGUUUCUAAAAUACAGUCAUAUGUUCACAGCUUUAUACUGAAAUCUAAUCUGCCAUGUCUAAAAUACAGUCAUAGAUUCACAGAUACAAGUGUCCAAACAUGAUCAAAAGUAUCCGAACAAUGUACAGUUUCUCAGCACCAAACUUCUGAAAUUACAGCAGUACUACUCUUUUUGUUUGAACAAGUUUUUCCUAAAUGGAAUUCAUAGCUUCCUCAUGCCCCCCCUCUCAUCCCCAAACUUUUCUUGGCCCUGUGUUGUAGCUAUAGCUGCGAAUUUCUGAGCACUAAUUUUGCAACUAGUUUUCAGAAUCUAGUGUUCCAGAAGUGUUAUUCCUGUGACCAUAAACUAGUAAUUCAUAUGUGUUCAUAGUCUAGUUGUUCCUAGAGUUUCUCCUGCUCCAUGCUAUCUUUUCUGCCUGUGUUCUAAUCUUUGUUCUGUUAAGUUGUGUUCUUCAGCAUAUGUUAAUGAUCCUCACAGGGAGCUUGUUUUUCUUUCAGAUGUCAUGAGGUAGGAGAGAGAUCUUGGAGGAGUGAAUGCAUAAGAGGGGGGGUGUUUACCUGUGUUUUUUCUGCAUCUCCAGCCAGAUUUGUGUCCCAGAUCAUGGAGGAAUUGCCCUCUCUGGUGUGGACCCAUAAGUGGAUUUACAUUGUAAUUCCUACUGGAUUUACAGUGUUUUUCUUAGUGGAUAUCCAGUGUAAUUCCAAGUGGAUUUACACUGUAAUUACUACUGGAUUUACAGUGUUUUUCCUAGUGGGUUUCCACUGUAAUUCUAAGUGGAUUUACAUUGUAAUUCCUACUGGAUUUACAAUGUUUUUCUUAGUGGAUUUACACUGAAAUGCUUAGUGUAAUUAUUUAGUACAAAUUAUUUGGAUUGGAAGUGUAUUUUUAGCGGUAUUUACAGUGUAAUUUUAGUGGAUUUUACAGUGUAAUUUUAGUGGAUUUUACAUUGUAAUUCUUAGUGCACAUAAAGAUUUUCUAUAGUGCAUUUUUCAGUGGAUAUUACACUGAAAUUCUUUAGUUGAACUAUUAGUGUAAUUUUAGUUAUUUUCCAG